UGCAGCAAACUAUUCAUACAGAGGAAGAACAUGCUGCAACACAUCAGGAACGUUCACAAAAUGGCCGUGGAUGUCAAGAAAUUGAUGAAAUGCGACGUAUGUGGCACUUCCCUGCCUACAAUGGAGAAGUAUUCGGUGCACCAGAUCGCUGCGCACAACUUCGAGGCUGAUUACGUGCACCCGGUGUUCCGGAACAAUAAGGAAUUUCAUGAAUGGAAAGCAAAAGAAUAGGGUAGCCAAAACUGCUGGUUCAUUUUGCCCAGGGACCCCAAAAAGCUGGCCAGUGGAGAAACAAGGAUCCACUAUUACUGUAAUAGAUCAGGCGAGGCAAGGAAAAAGGAAGGUCAUAGUGACCGUCGGGAGAAAAGUCAGGGGAGCUGUAGGUCUGAUCUUGUGCUAUGAGAUGAGGAGGUGUAAAAUAAAAACACCGUGUAGAUUUCACAAUGCCUUUAAGAAACCACGCGAAGCUUGGAGAUGAAGCAUUACAUGCACCUUGAACCAAGUGUCUGGACACAGCGAGUGAAAGUUGUUUUGUCAUGAGCGAGGGUGUCGGUGUUACUUGUAACUACCUUUAAAUAAAAGUUUGUUUCAAAACAGUG
RNAcentral lists this long non-coding RNA (599 nucleotides) under Dermacentor andersoni. Its description in RNAcentral is "uncharacterized LOC126522658". Lineage: Eukaryota; Metazoa; Arthropoda; Arachnida; Ixodida; Ixodidae. The record is from RNAcentral.